UUACGGUCAAAUCAGGUUGAAGCACCGGUUCUCGUACGAUCACCAAAGUUGAGCAACGUAGAACGUCGUUAGUAUCUGGAUUGGGGAUCGCUUUGGAAUAGCAGGUGUU
This is a non-coding RNA of Acanthosepion pharaonis, 109 nucleotides long. NCBI's taxonomy places the organism in Eukaryota, Metazoa, Mollusca, Cephalopoda, Sepiida, Sepiidae. The record is from the annotation of a GenBank genome assembly.